RNAcentral lists this ribosomal RNA (502 nucleotides) under uncultured bacterium. RNAcentral describes it as "bacterial SSU rRNA". It matches the Rfam family "Bacterial small subunit ribosomal RNA", at positions 29 to 524 of the family's 1533-position model. The record is from RNAcentral.
AUUGAACGCUGGCGGCGUGCUUAACACAUGCAAGUCGAUCGGUAACGCGGGGGCAACCCUGGCGACGAGAGGCGGACGGGUGAGGAACGCUUGGGAAUCUGCCCUUCAGCGGGGGACAACACGGGGGAAACUCGUGCUAAUACCGCAUACGCUCCACGGAGGAAAGCCGGGGACCGCAAGGCCUGGCACUGAAGGAUGAGCCCAAGCCGGAUUAGCUAGUUGGCGGGGUAACGGCCCACCAAGGCGACGAUCCGUAGCUGGUCUGAGAGGACGAUCAGCCACACUGGGACUGAGACACGGCCCAGACUCCUACGGGAGGCAGCAGUGGGGAAUAUUGGACAAUGGGGGAAACCCUGAUCCAGCGACGCCGCGUGGGUGAAGAAGGCCUGCGGGUUGUAAAGCCCUUUCGGUAGGGACGAAAGCUCUCGACCUAACACGUCGGGAGGUUGACUUAACCUACAGAAGAAGCACCGGCUAACUCUGUGCCAGCAGCCGCGGUAAU